AGCAUUAGAAAGCAAUGUAGGAAUUAAAUUAAAUUAUACAAUUUGUUCCCUUCACUUAUAAACUUCUAAAAGUAAAUAUUAAAAAGAUAAGAAAUCAGGAAUUGUACCAGAUUUUGUUGUGAAGGUUCGACGAUAUGUGUUGACAUACUUCCGAACAUCAUCCUCCUUAGAGAGGUUGAAGAGCUUUCGAAUCUUAGAAGCUCUCUUUGGACCCCUCAUCCUAGGUUUCUCUGUGUCGGUCAAUCCAGGAAGAUCGCUCUCACCCUUCUUCACUAUAACCAAGUUCAAAACAGAGAGGUCUUGGCUGACAAUGCACCCACGAACAGCCUUCCUCCUUCGCUCUCCAUUACGUCUUCCAUAUCCACGGAAGCAU
This 373-nucleotide long non-coding RNA is filed under the name Vitis vinifera (wine grape). RNAcentral's name for it is "long non-coding RNA (VVIN_LNC000873)". The record is from RNAcentral. Lineage: Eukaryota; Viridiplantae; Streptophyta; Magnoliopsida; Vitales; Vitaceae.